Molecule: ribosomal RNA, 2147 nt
Filed under: Shigella flexneri
Lineage: Bacteria; Pseudomonadati; Pseudomonadota; Gammaproteobacteria; Enterobacterales; Enterobacteriaceae
Description: partial 23S ribosomal RNA
Rfam family: Bacterial large subunit ribosomal RNA
Source: RNAcentral
GGUUAAGCGACUAAGCGUACACGGUGGAUGCCCUGGCAGUCAGAGGCGAUGAAGGACGUGCUAAUCUGCGAUAAGCGUCGGUAAGGUGAUAUGAACCGUUAUAACCGGCGAUUUCCGAAUGGGGAAACCCAGUGUGAUUCGUCACACUAUCAUUAACUGAAUCCAUAGGUUAAUGAGGCGAACCGGGGGAACUGAAACAUCUAAGUACCCCGAGGAAAAGAAAUCAACCGAGAUUCCCCCAGUAGCGGCGAGCGAACGGGGAGCAGCCCAGAGCCUGAAUCAGUGUGUGUGUUAGUGGAAGCGUCUGGAAAGGCGUGCGAUACAGGGUGACAGCCCCGUACACAAAAAUGCACAUACUGUGAGCUCGAUGAGUAGGGCGGGACACGUGGUAUCCUGUCUGAAUAUGGGGGGACCAUCCUCCAAGGCUAAAUACUCCUGACUGACCGAUAGUGAACCAGUACCGUGAGGGAAAGGCGAAAAGAACCCCGGCGAGGGGAGUGAAAAAGAACCUGAAACCGUGUACGUACAAGCAGUGGGAGCACGCUUAGGCGUGUGACUGCGUACCUUUUGUAUAAUGGGUCAGCGACUUAUAUUCUGUAGCAAGGUUAACCGAAUAGGGGAGCCGAAGGGAAACCGAGUCUUAACUGGGCGUUAAGUUGCAGGGUAUAGACCCGAAACCCGGUGAUCUAGCCAUGGGCAGGUUGAAGGUUGGGUAACACUAACUGGAGGACCGAACCGACUAAUGUUGAAAAAUUAGCGGAUGACUUGUGGCUGGGGGUGAAAGGCCAAUCAAACCGGGAGAUAGCUGGUUCUCCCCGAAAGCUAUUUAGGUAGCGCCUCGUGAAUUCAUCUCCGGGGGUAGAGCACUGUUUCGGCAAGGGGGUCAUCCCGACUUACCAACCCGAUGCAAACUGCGAAUACCGGAGAAUGUUAUCACGGGAGACACACGGCGGGUGCUAACGUCCGUCGUGAAGAGGGAAACAACCCAGACCGCCAGCUAAGGUCCCAAAGUCAUGGUUAAGUGGGAAACGAUGUGGGAAGGCCCAGACAGCCAGGAUGUUGGCUUAGAAGCAGCCAUCAUUUAAAGAAAGCGUAAUAGCUCACUGGUCGAGUCGGCCUGCGCGGAAGAUGUAACGGGGCUAAACCAUGCACCGAAGCUGCGGCAGCGACGCUUAUGCGUUGUUGGGUAGGGGAGCGUUCUGUAAGCCUGUGAAGGUGUGCUGUGAGGUAUGCUGGAGGUAUCAGAAGUGCGAAUGCUGACAUAAGUAACGAUAAAGCGGGUGAAAAGCCCGCUCGCCGGAAGACCAAGGGUUCCUGUCCAACGUUAAUCGGGGCAGGGUGAGUCGACCCCUAAGGCGAGGCCGAAAGGCGUAGUCGAUGGGAAACAGGUUAAUAUUCCUGUACUUGGUGUUACUGCGAAGGGGGGACGGAGAAGGCUAUGUUGGCCGGGCGACGGUUGUCCCGGUUUAAGCGUGUAGGCUGGUUUUCCAGGCAAAUCCGGAAAAUCAAGGCCGAGGCGUGAUGACGAGGCACUACGGUGCUGAAGCAACAAAUGCCCUGCUUCCAGGAAAAGCCUCUAAGCAUCAGGUAACAUCAAAUCGUACCCCAAACCGACACAGGUGGUCAGGUAGAGAAUACCAAGGCGCUUGAGAGAACUCGGGUGAAGGAACUAGGCAAAAUGGUGCCGUAACUUCGGGAGAAGGCACGCUGAUACGUAGGUGAAGCGACUUGCUCGUGGAGCUGAAAUCAGUCGAAGAUACCAGCUGGCUGCAACUGUUUAUUAAAAACACAGCACUGUGCAAACACGAAAGUGGACGUAUACGGUGUGACGCCUGCCCGGUGCCGGAAGGUUAAUUGAUGGGGUUAGCGCAAGCGAAGCUCUUGAUCGAAGCCCCGGUAAACGGCGGCCGUAACUAUAACGGUCCUAAGGUAGCGAAAUUCCUUGUCGGGUAAGUUCCGACCUGCACGAAUGGCGUAAUGAUGGCCAGGCUGUCUCCACCCGAGACUCAGUGAAAUUGAACUCGCUGUGAAGAUGCAGUGUACCCGCGGCAAGACGGAAAGACCCCGUGAACCUUUACUAUAGCUUGACACUGAACAUUGAGCCUUGAUGUGUAGGAUAGGUGGGAGGCUUUGAAGUGUGGACGCCA